AGAAGACCUCCCGUAAAUCAAGCCUGGCUGGGCGUACGCAGGUUGUAAAAAAGCGGGAUGACAAAGAAAAGUCAUCCCGC
Molecule: small RNA, 80 nt
Filed under: Pseudomonas jinjuensis
Lineage: Bacteria; Pseudomonadati; Pseudomonadota; Gammaproteobacteria; Pseudomonadales; Pseudomonadaceae
Description: Pseudomonas sRNA P31
Rfam family: Pseudomonas sRNA P31
Source: Rfam by way of RNAcentral